GCCUUCUAAUUAGAGGCUUGUAUGAAUGGUUGGAUGAAAAAUUAACUUUCUUUAUUUUAUUUUAAAAAAUUUUAUUUUUCAGUUAAAAAGCUGAAAUUUAUUUAUUAGACGAGAAGACCCUAUAGAACUUUAUAUUUGAUUUAAUAUUAUAUUAUUAGUUAAUAUUUUUUAUUAUUAUUUAUUUAUUUUGUUGGGGUGACAGGUAAAUUUUUUUAACUUUAUUUAUUUCAUUUCAUUUAUGUUUGAUUUUUUUGAUCCAUAAUUUAUGAUUAUAAGUUCAAGUUACCUUAGGGAUAACAGCGUAAUUUUAUUGGAGAGCUCUAAUUUAUAAUAAAGUUUGCGACCUCGAUGUUGGAUU
This 358-nucleotide ribosomal RNA is filed under the name Anthocoris melanocerus. Its description in RNAcentral is "partial 16S ribosomal RNA". The record is from RNAcentral. Lineage: Eukaryota; Metazoa; Arthropoda; Insecta; Hemiptera; Anthocoridae.